This 199-nucleotide non-coding RNA is filed under the name Pseudomonadales bacterium. RNAcentral describes it as "6S RNA". It matches the Rfam family "6S / SsrS RNA". From Rfam's summary of the family: E. coli 6S RNA was the first non coding RNA to be sequenced, but its function was unknown until recently. It consists of 184 nucleotides that fold into an extended hairpin structure with a large single-stranded internal bulge. The record is from RNAcentral. Lineage: Bacteria; Pseudomonadati; Pseudomonadota; Gammaproteobacteria; Pseudomonadales.
UGUCGCCUCGGACGUUCGCCAGCGUAGGGAAGUCCUUGAGCCGUUAUUGAAACGAUAGGAGUUGUCGGCGCUGGUCUCGGUGUGCAUAUCCGGCGAGGAGUCUUCGGACACCCCCGGGCAGCCUGAUGGGAUCGCCUGCUUCUCCGCCCUGAGCCACAACGGUUCAGGGCAACCUGUGCAGCGGCGUCCCGGGUGACCU